Gasterosteus aculeatus aculeatus (three-spined stickleback) is the source of this 1103-nucleotide long non-coding RNA. NCBI's taxonomy places the organism in Eukaryota, Metazoa, Chordata, Actinopteri, Perciformes, Gasterosteidae. The record is from Ensembl.
UAGAGUAUCUCCAAGAUGAGCAGUUUCAUUAAAAUGUUACUAUUUUUAAACUAAUUUCAGACGUGGGUUCUUCUUCUCGGCGGCACCAAUGAGCUGCUGUACUUCACGGACUGAAUGAAGAAAUCAGAAGCUCAGGCCUCCAAACUACCGUCUAAAAGCUGGAGAAUGAACCGCCAGGCUCCGCCCCCAACGGACAGCGGCGUCACACCAGGAGGACAAAGAGAACCAUGUUCAAAAGGAAACGUUUAGGACGCAUGUGUGCGCACAUACCAAUAUGGCUGGAGCUUUUAUUGCACAAAAGAUGACAGUUGAAGUUCCGUUACAAACAAAUCAAAGCUUUGUAAACAGUGAAGCAGCUCUGAGCCCCCGUCGCCACACGCGUGUUCACCGGCGCUCAGCAAGUAAGUGUGUCCACGAGAGACAACCAGUGAGAGUGCCUACAAGAAGCAGAGGGAGGCUGGGACACGGGAGGGCGGGGACACGCUGGGACACAGGAAGGGUUUAAUGAUUUUAAAAAACCCAUUAAAAACGUUUGGCUUUGAACUCAAAUGAGAAGGACACCCUUUAGUUUGCUCUCUUUCACUCAGGACGAACGCAAAGCUUUGAUCGCGGUCUCGGGUCGUGGACGCGGCACUCGGAUCACUUUAAGUCUCACUGUCCUCCAUGUGAGCUAGACAAGUGGAUAUGUUGACUCUUGAGUCCCGGGACGGUCCUUGUGGCGCGUCCCCCUUCCAGCGGAGCAGUUCAGGGGGUCCACAGAGCGCCCCCCCCACUCCAUGUACGUGAUGGGGACAGCGCUUGUCAUUGGACAGAAAACAGACAGAAAUGGCACAUUGCUUGUUGUUCUCUAUUCUACAUGUAAAUAGGAUUUAGGAUUUUUUUGUUGGCGGUGAGGCAGAAGGAAGAAGCCGGAGACGCAGCACGAGUCUUUUCCAGGAGAUGAGGCGGCGUCUCUAUGGCGUCUGUGCCAUGCCGCGACUAGACUUGAUCUUCUCCAGUCUUUUAGAGAGUUCUAUCAAGUUCGGAUCGUUGCCGUUCUCCAGAAUCUCUCCGUCCGGGCUCACACUGCUGUCGGUGCCGUUCCGUUGUGUCUUCAGAUCCAG